CCUACGGGAGGCAGCAGUGGGGAAUAUUGCACAAUGGGGGAAACCCUGAUGCAGCGACGCCGCGUGAGUGAUGAAGUAUUUCGGUAUGUAAAGCUCUAUCAGCAGGGAAGAUAAUGACGGUACCUGACUAAGAAGCACCGGCUAAAUACGUGCCAGCAGCCGCGGUAAUACGUAUGGUGCAAGCGUUAUCCGGAUUUACUGGGUGUAAAGGGUGCGUAGGUGGUGAGACAAGUCUGAAGUGAAAAUCCGGGGCUUAACCCCGGAACUGCUUUGGAAACUGCCUGACUAGAGUACAGGAGAGGUAAGUGGAAUUCCUAGUGUAGCGGUGAAAUGCGUAGAUAUUAGGAGGAACACCAGUGGCGAAGGCGACUUACUGGACUGCUACUGACACUGAGGCACGAAAGCGUGGGGAGCAAACAGGAUUAGAUACCCCAGUAGU
Molecule: ribosomal RNA, 439 nt
Filed under: uncultured Coprococcus sp.
Lineage: Bacteria; Bacillati; Bacillota; Clostridia; Lachnospirales; Lachnospiraceae
Description: bacterial SSU rRNA
Rfam family: Bacterial small subunit ribosomal RNA
Source: RNAcentral